GGGUUUGAUCCUGGCUCAGAACGAACGCUGGCGGCGUGGAUUAGGCAUGCAAGUCGUGCGCGAAACUUCGCUUCGGUGGAGAAGUAGAGCGGCGAAAGGGUGAGUAAUGCAUGGAUAACCUGCCCCCGGGAGAGGGAUAGCACCGCCCGAAAGGGCUUUAGCGAAAGUGGUGGUAAUACCUCAUGAUGCCGGCAGGCCGCAUGGUCUGCUGGUCAAAGGAGGGGAUCCUUCGGGACCUUCCGCCCGAGGAGGGGUUCAUGUCCCAUUAGCUUGUUGGUGAGGUAACGGCUCACCAAGGCGACGAUGGGUAGCCGGUCUGAGAGGACGAUCGGCCACACUGGGACUGAGACACUGCCCAGACUCCUACGGGAGGCUGCAGUCGAGAAUAUUUCACAAUGCGCGAAAGCGUGAUGACGCGACGCCGCGUGGAGGACAAGGCCUUCGGGUUGUAAGCUCCUGUGAGGGGCUAAGAAAUGCGUGGUCUUGAAUACAGACCGCGCCUGACGUCAACCCCACAGCAAGCUCCGGCUAACUUCGUGCCAGCAGCAGCGGUAAUACGGAGGGAGCAAGCGUUGUUCGGAAUUACUGGGCAUAAAGGGUGCGUAGGCGGAUGAGUAGGUCGGGCGUGAAAUCCCACAGCUCAACUGUGGAACUGCGCUUGAAACUGCUCGUCUUGAGUGGAGAAGAGGAGAGUGGAACUCCAGGUGGAGCGGUGGAAUGCGUUGAUAUCUGGAGGAACGCCGGUGGCGAAAGCGGCUCUCUGGUCUCUAACUGACGCUGAGGCACGAAAGCCAGGGUAGCAAACGGGAUUAGAUACCCCGGUAGUCCUGGCCGUAAACGAUGGGCACUGAGUGGAGGGGGUUUCGACGCUCUCUCUGCUGUAGCAAAUGCGUUAAGUGCCCCGCCUGGGGAGUACGGUCGCAAGGCUGAAACUCAAAGCAAUUGACGGGGGCUCGCACAAGCGGUGGAGCAUGUUGCUUAAUUCGAAGCAACGCGAAGAACCUUACCGGGGUUAGACUGCAGGCAGUAGAAGCCCGAAAGGGUAACGACCGGUAUCCAGUCCGGAACCUGUUCAGGUGCUGCAUGGCUGUCGUCAGCUCGUGUCGUGAGAUGUUGGGUUAAGUCCCGUAACGAGCGAAACCCUUGUCCUUAGUUGCCAGCACUUCGGGUGGGGACUCUAAGGAGACUGCCGGUGUUAAACCGGAGGAAGGUGGGGACGACGUCAAGUCAUCAUGGCCCUUACGCCCCGGGCUGCAAACGUGCUACAAUGGCCGGUACAAAGGGAUGCCAAGUCGCGAGACGGAGCAAACCCCAAAAAGCCGGUCCCAGUUCGGAUUGCAGGCUGAAACCCGCCUGCAUGAAGUUGGAAUCGCUAGUAAUCGCGAAUCAGCCACGUCGCGGUGAAUGUGUUCCCGAGCCUUGUACACACCGCCCGUCAAGCCACCCGAGUAGGGCCAACCCGAAAUCCGUGACCUAACCGUAAGGGAGGAGCGGCUGAAGGUGGGCUUUAUAAGGGGGACUAAGUCGUAACAAGGUA
RNAcentral lists this ribosomal RNA (1537 nucleotides) under metagenome. Its description in RNAcentral is "bacterial SSU rRNA". It matches the Rfam family "Bacterial small subunit ribosomal RNA". The record is from RNAcentral.